Molecule: ribosomal RNA, 416 nt
Filed under: uncultured bacterium
Lineage: Bacteria
Description: bacterial SSU rRNA
Rfam family: Bacterial small subunit ribosomal RNA
Source: RNAcentral
GAUACGCGAGGAACCUUACCUGGACUAGAAUGCCCAUGACCGGUACAGAGAUGUACUUUUCCGCAAGGACAUGGAGCAAGGUGCUGCAUGGCUGUCGUCAGCUCGUGCCGUGAGGUGUUGGGUUAAGUCCCGCAACGAGCGCAACCCUUAUUUUUAGUUGCCAGCACGUAAUGGUGGGGACUCUAAAAAGACUGCCCGCGCAAGCGGAGAGGAAGGAGGGGAUGACGUCAAGUCAUCAUGGCCUUUAUGCCCAGGGCUACACACGUGCUACAAUGGAGAGUACAAAGGGCUGCCACUUGGCAACAAGGCGCUAAUCCCAAAAAACUCUUCUCAGUUCAGAUUGGGGUCUGCAACUCGACCCCAUGAAGCUGGAAUCGCUAGUAAUCGUCAUAUCAGCAAUGAUACGGUGACAUACG